AGGAAUUGGCGGGGGAGCACCGCAACGGGAGGAGCGUGCGGUUUAAUUGGAUUCAACACCGGAAAACUCACCAAGGGCGACUAUCACAUGAAAGCCAGGCUAAUGACCUUGCUUGAUUCUUAGAGAGGUGGUGCAUGGCCGUCGUCAGUUCGUACCGUAAGGCGUUCUCUUAAGUGAGAUAACGAACGAGACCCUCAUCUAUAAUUGCUACUUCACCCUUCGGGGUGGAGGCACAUUAUCGAGACCGCUGGCGCUAAGUCAGAGGAAGGAGAGGUCAACGGUAGGUCAGUAUGCCCCGAAUCUCUUGGGCUACACGCGCGCUACAAAGGGCGGGACAAUGGGCUACGACGCCGAAAGGCGAAGUCAAUCUCGAAACCCGUCCGUAGUUCGGAUUGAGGGUUGUAACUCACCCUCAUGAAGCUGGAUUCCGUAGUAAUCGCGAAUCAAAAACUCGCGGUGAAUAUGUCCCUGCUCCUUGCACACA
Molecule: ribosomal RNA, 484 nt
Filed under: uncultured Thermoplasmataceae archaeon
Lineage: Archaea; Methanobacteriati; Thermoplasmatota; Thermoplasmata; Thermoplasmatales; Thermoplasmataceae
Description: bacterial SSU rRNA
Rfam family: Archaeal small subunit ribosomal RNA
Source: RNAcentral